Pocillopora verrucosa is the source of this 1433-nucleotide non-coding RNA. Lineage: Eukaryota; Metazoa; Cnidaria; Anthozoa; Scleractinia; Pocilloporidae. The record is from RefSeq and is a predicted model, not a curated record.
UGAGACAGGGUGGUUACCAAGCGCCGCACAUCGAGCUACUGAGCUACACAUCAUGAAGGACUCGUAAGACAGAAAUUCAGGGACGAUGUGGAUUUGGGUUACAGAGGAAUGUUCAGAGAAAUGGAAGAAAGGAGAAAAACAGAUUUUUUCAACUUGUUGUCAGCCACCCAGCCUUUUCAAAAGAUGAAGAUUUGCAGAAGGUUUUGAAAGAGGAAAAUCUUGCAGUGAGAAGCAAAGUGAAAAAGGGUCUUAGGACAAGUCUAUAUCAUGAGCUGUGGAUGAUCUCAGGCAUCAUAGUCACAAGGAUCUUGAUGAAGAAUUUCAGAAGAAAAGAGAUUUUGUGGAGGAGUACACACCACUUACCAAGGAGACAUAUGGGGAUCUUGUUGAAGAAUUUCUGAAGAAAAGAGAUUUUGUGGAAGAGUACACACCACUUACCAAGGAGACAUAUGGGAACUUCACCAAAAUGGUAAACAGUCAGCAAGGUGUUGCAUUAGCAGUGAAUGAUUUUAGUUCUGACAUCAUGACAGCAUCUGCUGGUGAUGAUAAUAGUACCAAGGAAUUGAAAGGGAAUCACUGAAUGUUAUGUCCACUACUGAUGACAUCACAUUAGGUUUUACUUUAGAACUUUAUUCCAGAUAAAUGCUACCAAGAAGGAGAUGUGUUUCUGUCGUAUGUGUAAACUAGUUGAGUUUGAGAAUGCCACAAAAGCACUGGAAAAAGCCAAACCCAAGAACCAAGAAAUGCUUCAAAAAGCUAAAGACGAUGCAGAGGAAGCAUAAAAUUCAAUUUCAGAAGCUGCAAAGAAUGAGUUCGUUUUACAGGCAGACCACCAUGCUGUUGGUUUACAUAUGAUCUGUUACAAUAGGCAAAGGGUGUUGAGCCUGCAAGCCAGUCUUAUCCAGUACACUGAAUUGCGGUUAAAGAAUAGAAGAGAUACCUAUGCCAUUUUGGCCAAGCUAUUGCAUGACAUGAAAAAAUCUGCUUAAUCACUCAGUGCAAAGAAAAGAGAUGACACCGUAAAUUGGUAGCCAAAAUUUAUUGUUAAUUUUCUUUAUGAAAUUGGAUUAUGUUAAUUUGACACGGAUAAUACAAAAAUAAUUUUUAAAAUGACACAAGGUUGUUUCAGGCAUUGGCUCACUCCAGGUUAGUAAAACAGAGUGAAGACUGGCACAGAAAAGUGAAACAGCGAGAGAAGCUUGGGUCAAGUGGGAUUCAUUGAGUGACUCAACCCAAGCCUCCCUUGCUUUUUCACUUCUCUGCUCCUAUAAGCGGCAUUUACUAUCACACUUUGUUUUACCCACUGAAUGCCUGGAACAGGCUAUUCAGGCACUAAUCAUAACCAUUACAAUUUCUUCAAAUGUGAUUGGUGCAUUAGCUGCAUUAUUUUUCUCUUAUCUUUCUGUACAGCUUUAAUUGGACAGCGUAAUUGG